UUAGAUUUAAUUCUAUUUAUUUUUAUUUAAAGGUUUAAUUAAAAUCCUCCUUUCCUUAAUUUAUUCAACACUAAUCUAGUGAGAACAAUACUGUUCUCGCACCGUUUUGACAUCAUGUGCCAGCUGCACGUCAUUGUCCUAAUUGACAGCUAUGGCUUAUAUGGCUGCUAACCGCGCCUUAGGUAGGAAAUGCUGUUGGACCCUGACGUGCAGACGUGUGAUCAAUCAACCAAACAUUGUAAAGAUCACGGUUGGUCAAGAGGGAACUGGCCAGGUAUAUUGCAGAUCCCCCUCAAGGCGUGGCUGAAGGGUCUAGGAUACAGCAAAGAUUGUCUGGCUUCAUGCUGACCAGACUGGCGAGCUAACCGCUUAACGGAUUGGGAUUGUCUGAGGAAACUCUUCCGAACUGGUUGGAGAUUCAGCCCAACAAGUCUCCACUGAAGGAAUUGGAUUAUUUUUGUUUUUUCUCCCUUUCAUCAUCAACAAAGACUGGUUGACUUCCUUGGUUUAAGGAACCCAUUUGGACUUUAAAAUUGUGGAUUAACUUGUGUAUAUAUUGUAAAUAAUAAUACAACUCACUAAUUUUG
Molecule: long non-coding RNA, 587 nt
Organism: Cyprinodon tularosa
Lineage: Eukaryota; Metazoa; Chordata; Actinopteri; Cyprinodontiformes; Cyprinodontidae
Exons: 3
Source: RefSeq, a predicted model, not a curated record